AGUGGCGAACGGGUGAGUAAUACAUCGGAACGUACCUUAUCGUGGGGGAUAACGCAGCGAAAGCUGUGCUAAUACCGCAUACGCCCUGAGGGGGAAAGCGGGGGAUCGAAAGACCUCGCGCGAUUAGAGCGGCCGAUGCCUGAUUAGCUUGUUGGUGGGGUAAAAGCCCACCAAGGCGACGAUCAGUAGCUGGUCUGAGAGGACGAUCAGCCACACUGGGACCGAGACACGGCCCAGACUCCUACGGGAGGCAGCAGUGGGGAAUUUUGGACAAUGGGGGAAACCCUGAUCCAGCAAUGCCGCGUGAGUGAAGAAGGCCUUCGGGUUGUAAAGCUCUUUUGUCAGGGAAGAAACACCGGCUCUAACACAGCCCGGGAAUGACGGUACCUGAAGAAUAAGCACCGGCUAACUACGUGCCAGCAGCCGCGGUAAUACGUAGGGUGCGAGCGUUAAUCGGAAUUACUGGGCGUAAAGCGUGCGCAGGCGGUUAUACAAGACAGGCGUGAAAUCCCCGGGCUUAACCUGGGAAUGGCGCCUGUGACUGUAUAGCUAGAGUGUGUCAGAGGGGGGUAGAAUUCCACGUGUAGCAGUGAAAUGCGUAGAUAUGUGGAGGAAUACCAAUGGCGAAGGCAGCCCCCUGGGAUAACACUGACGCUCAUGCACGAAAGCGUGGGGAGCAAACAGGAUUAGAUACCCUGGU
RNAcentral lists this ribosomal RNA (700 nucleotides) under uncultured beta proteobacterium. RNAcentral's name for it is "bacterial SSU rRNA". It matches the Rfam family "Bacterial small subunit ribosomal RNA", at positions 94 to 791 of the family's 1533-position model. The record is from RNAcentral. Lineage: Bacteria; Pseudomonadati; Pseudomonadota; Betaproteobacteria.